AGUUCUAAGGCAGUGUUGUCAUGGUUCGGAUCUGGAAUGUCUCUCCUCAAAGCCUCAUGUGCUCAGAGCUGAGGUGUUUGGAUGGUGACUGGGUCUUGGGGCACUAUACCUGUAUGGGGAUUAAUCUGCUGAUGAAUCUAUAGUGGCGUGUGCUGUUAGGAGGUGGGGUCUGGUUGGAAGACCUGAGUCAUGGGGUGGGACCGUGGAGGGUGUGUUUGCUUCCCUGGCUCCUCCUUUUGUGCUCUGCUUCCUGGCUGCCAUGACGUGAGCAUCUUUCCUCAGCCAGUUCCUUCCACCCAUAUCCUUUCUGCCUUGGAGCCAGCCAUCCAUGGACUGAAAAUGUGGGCUGAAGUUAGGCUCUCCUCCUUUAAGGUGUGGUCAGGUGUUUUGUCCCAGCAUGAGAAAGUGGCUAAGACAAAUGUGGUGCCUGGAGCAACCCUGAAAAGUGUGUUCUAACCAGCAGUAAGAGACUGGACAAAUUUUGAACAAGAAAAUCACGGUUGAUGGAUUUAAUGGAGGCUUAGUAUUUCCAUGGAUGGCAUCACAGAAUUCUACCAUCCUCAACUAAGCAUGUGGAAGACAGUCUAGCGGAAGAAGGAUGGAGGCAGGAAGCCGGGACAUCAGCAGCUACUACUGCUAUUUGCACACCACUCUUGCAUCCACAGAAGCUUCCCGUGACAGAUGCACAGCACUGCUGGGCACCUGAUUUUAUGCAGUCCAAGCAUCAUCUGAAAUUCUGUCCUGGGAAGUCUAAGGAUUUAACUGAAUAGGCUGCUCACAAUCCCAGCUGGCUGAAGAUCCUCAACACCACCUCUCUAUUCCUGUGUCCUCCUACUUGCCACUGGACUUCUUCCAUACUCCUCAAAGGUUCUCUGAUGACACCCAUACUAAAGGAGGUAUCUAGUAUGUAGUUUUUAUCUGUCUCUCCAGUUCUUUGACACUACACCACAAUUGUUUUCUGAGAAGUUUAUCCAAGAUAUUAAAUAGAACUUUGUUUCCAUACAUUUUUACUU
Heterocephalus glaber (naked mole-rat) is the source of this 1013-nucleotide non-coding RNA. The record is from RefSeq and is a predicted model, not a curated record. NCBI's taxonomy places the organism in Eukaryota, Metazoa, Chordata, Mammalia, Rodentia, Bathyergidae.